RNAcentral lists this non-coding RNA (24 nucleotides) under Arabidopsis thaliana (thale cress). Lineage: Eukaryota; Viridiplantae; Streptophyta; Magnoliopsida; Brassicales; Brassicaceae. The record is from RNAcentral.
GGAUUUGCUCUAGCGCCUCAGACC